This 460-nucleotide ribosomal RNA is filed under the name uncultured bacterium. Its description in RNAcentral is "partial 16S ribosomal RNA". It matches the Rfam family "Bacterial small subunit ribosomal RNA", at positions 338 to 795 of the family's 1533-position model. The record is from RNAcentral.
CCUACGGGAGGCAGCAGUGAGGAAUAUUGGUCAAUGGGCGGAAGCCUGAACCAGCCAAGUCGCGUGAGGGAAUACGGCCCUACGGGUUGUAAACCUCUUUUGCCGGGGAGCAAGGGCCGGGACGUGUCGCGUCACGGAGAGUACCCGGAGAAAAAGCAUCGGCUAACUCCGUGCCAGCAGCCGCGGUAAUACGGAGGAUGCGAGCGUUAUCCGGAUUUAUUGGGUUUAAAGGGUGCGUAGGCGGACUGUUAAGUCAGCGGUAAAAUUGCGGGGCUCAACCCCGUCCGGCCGUUGAAACUGGGGGUCUUGAGUGGGCGAGAAGAAGGCGGAAUGCGUGGUGUAGCGGUGAAAUGCAUAGAUAUCACGCAGAACCCCGAUUGCGAAGGCAGCCUUCCGGCGCCCUACUGACGCUGAGGCACGAAAGUGCGGGGAUCGAACAGGAUUAGAUACCCUAGUAGUC